AUCAAGAAAGAAAAUUUCCAUUCUUCUGCAAAUAAUCAGUUGAAUUUUGCAAUUUGCAUUCAACUGCUUGUGCUUUCACUUGUGGGUCUUAAUUAGGAUCACUAUUGCAUCUUGUAGACAGCCAGACUAUUAGUAUAUUUGGUAGCUUGCCACCAUAUUUGGCAGCCUGGCAGAAUCACAAAAAAAAAAAAAAGAUAAAAAAUAAGCCUAUUUAAAAGUCAGUAAAGCCAACAUCCUUUCAGAAAGCUUUAAUCUAGGUUUCCAUAUGCUGUACCUUUCUGAGGAUAAGAAUUAAUUCUCAUCUUACUGCUCUCUUUCCAUCUUUCAGAGCAUUCUCCUCUGAAAACUAUUUCAGGAGAAAAACUCAUUUUUUUCAUCUGUUGGCCUGGAUACUGAUUAUCAUUUCCAGAUUCUAUUGCCGUCUAUACUCAAAUUAAAUGAGAA
RNAcentral lists this long non-coding RNA (444 nucleotides) under Anas platyrhynchos platyrhynchos (common mallard). RNAcentral's name for it is "lncRNA (ENSAPLG00000018762.1)". The record is from RNAcentral. Lineage: Eukaryota; Metazoa; Chordata; Aves; Anseriformes; Anatidae.